This 1033-nucleotide ribosomal RNA is filed under the name uncultured Gammaproteobacteria bacterium. RNAcentral describes it as "bacterial SSU rRNA". It matches the Rfam family "Bacterial small subunit ribosomal RNA", at positions 99 to 1125 of the family's 1533-position model. Lineage: Bacteria; Pseudomonadati; Pseudomonadota; Gammaproteobacteria. The record is from RNAcentral.
CGGACGGGUGAGUAAUGCCUGGGAAUAUGCCUUAGUGUGGGGGAUAACUAUUGGAAACGAUAGCUAAUACCCGCAUAAUGNCUUCGGACCAAAGAGGGGGACCUUCGGGCCUCUCGCGCUAAGAUUAGCCCAGGUGAGAUUAGCUAGUUGGUGAGGUAAGAGCUCACCAAGGCGACGAUCUCUAGCUGGUCUGAGAGGAUGAUCGAGCCACACUGGAACUGAGACACGGUCCAGACUCCUACGGGAGGCAGCAGUGGGGAAUAUUGCACAAUGGGCGAAAGCCUGAUGCAGCCAUGCCGCGUGUAUGAAGAAGGCCUUCGGGUUGUAAAGUACUUUCAGUAGGGAGGAAGGCGUUGUCGUUAAUAGCGGCUUCGUUUGACGUUACCUACAGAAGAAGCACCGGCUAACUCCGUGCCAGCAGCCGCGGUAAUACGGAGGGUGCGAGCGUUAAUCGGAAUUACUGGGCGUAAAGCGCAUGCAGGUGGUUCAUUAAGUCAGAUGUGAAAGCCCGGGGCUCAACCUCGGAACCGCAUUUGAAACUGGUGAACUAGAGUGCUGUAGAGGGGGGUAGAAUUUCAGGUGUAGCGGUGAAAUGCGUAGAGAUCUGAAGGAAUACCAGUGGCGAAGGCGGCCCCCUGGACAGACACUGACACUCAGAUGCGAAAGCGUGGGGAGCAAACAGGAUUAGAUACCCURGUAGUCCACGCCGUAAACGAUGUCUACUUGGAGGUUGUUCCCUUGAGGAGUGGCUUUCGGAGCCUAACGSGUUAAGUAGACCGCCUGGGGAGUACGGUCGCAAGAUUAAAACUCAAAUGAAUUGACGGGAGCCCGCACAAGCGGUGGAGCAUGUGGUUUAAUUCGAUGCAACGCGAAGAACCUUACCUACUCUUGACAUCCAGAGAAUUCGCUAGAGAUAGCUUAGUGCCUUCGGGAACUCUGAGACAGGUGCUGCAUGGCUGUCGUCAGCUCGUGUUGUGAAAUGUUGGGUUAAGUCCCGCAACGAGCGCAACCCUUAUCCUUGUUUGCCAGCACG